RNAcentral lists this ribosomal RNA (497 nucleotides) under uncultured bacterium. RNAcentral's name for it is "partial 16S ribosomal RNA". It matches the Rfam family "Bacterial small subunit ribosomal RNA", at positions 28 to 507 of the family's 1533-position model. The record is from RNAcentral.
GAUGAACGCUGGCGGCGUGCCUAAUACAUGCAAGUCGAGCGAACAGACGAGGAGCUUGCUCCUCUGACGUUAGCGGCGGACGGGUGAGUAACACGUGGAUAACCUACCUAUAAGACUGGGAUAACUUCGGGAAACCGGAGCUAAUACCGGAUAAUAUAUUGAACCGCAUGGUUCAAUAGUGAAAGACGGUUUUGCUGUCACUUAUAGAUGGAUCCGCGCCGCAUUAGCUAGUUGGUAAGGUAACGGCUUACCAAGGCAACGAUGCGUAGCCGACCUGAGAGGGUGAUCGGCCACACUGGAACUGAGACACGGUCCAGACUCCUACGGGAGGCAGCAGUAGGGAAUCUUCCGCAAUGGGCGAAAGCCUGACGGAGCAACGCCGCGUGAGUGAUGAAGGUCUUCGGAUCGUAAAACUCUGUUAUUAGGUAAGAACAAAUGUGUAAGUAACUGUGCACGUCUUGACGGUACCUAAUCAGAAAGCCACGGCUAACUACGUG